GACGAACGCUGGCUAUAGGCUUAACACAUGCAAGUCGAGGGGAAUCUGUAAAGAGUGCUUGCCCACUUGGGACUUCAACCGGCGCAGGGGUGAGUAACGCGUAUCCGACCUGCCCCUUCCUUGGGGAUGACCCGUUGAAAGACGGACUAAUACCCAAUGAUAUUCAUUGAUGACAUCUGAUUUGAAUUAAAGAUUUAUCGGUAUAGGAGGGGGAUGCGUCUGAUUAUCAUGUUGGUGAGGUAACGGCUCACCACGGCCACGAUCAGUAGGGGUUCUGAGAGGAGGUCCCCCACCGUGCACUGGGACACAGUCCGGCUCCUACGGGAUGCAAGGUGAGGAAUAUUGGUCAAUGGACGAUAGGUGAACCUGAUCAAGCCCGUGCAGGAUGACGGCCCUGUGGGUUGUAAACUGCUUUUGUUUGGUAAUAAUCUACAUUGCAUUUCUUGUUUUGCUUGUUCCUUUCGAAUCCUGACCAGUAAAUUCCUUGCCAGUACGCGCGGUAAUACGGAAGGUCCAGGCGUUUGCCGGAUUUAUUGGGGUUUAAUGGGACUGUAUGCGGUUUGUUUAUGUUUGUUUUUAUCAUGAUGUUGGAAUCCCCUGUGUGUUGUCUGGGAACUGUGUGUUGAACUGUGAUUGCUCUGUGUUGUGGUAGUGUGUGAUUUUGUGUGAGCUGGUUUGUGGUGUGGUGUUGUUGUGAUUUUUGUUUUGUGGGUGUUGUGUUGUGUGUUGUGUGUGUGUUUG
RNAcentral lists this ribosomal RNA (741 nucleotides) under uncultured Neisseriaceae bacterium. Its description in RNAcentral is "bacterial SSU rRNA". The stretch from base 4 to 522 matches the Rfam family "Bacterial small subunit ribosomal RNA", at positions 31 to 542 of the family's 1533-position model. Lineage: Bacteria; Pseudomonadati; Pseudomonadota; Betaproteobacteria; Neisseriales; Neisseriaceae. The record is from RNAcentral.